AUUUUUUUAGAUGAUUUAUUAAUAUUUUAUUCAAAAAUAACCUUUAUUAUUACCUAAUAUCCUUAUAAGAAAUUAAAAUUGUUUUAUUUUAUUUUAUGAAUAAAUUAAAUAUUAUUGUGCCCUUUAUUUCUGGACAGCUGAAAAUGGCUACCAUUGAUAUAAUAUUUGAAAUCCACAAUGGUCAAUCCCACAAAAUCCCUAUGCUACUGGAUAAAUGGAUUAGGCCAUCUGAAUUAUAUGGAAGUUAAGAAUAAUGAUGGUCAACCCUAAAGUAAUCGUGAAAAAGGCUAGGAAAAAGAAGACUGUUCACUUGAAGCUACCUAGAUUAAAAUUGCAUUACUGUAAUAUGGUAUAAUUUAUAUUAUAAUGAAUUUUUCAGGAUAAUUUUAAUAUUUAAUAACUUAAAAAUGUAUAUGGUGAAAACUUACUCUACAAAUAAUUAUAAUUGUAUUAAUAUUUUCUCAGUAUUAUCAAAUAAUUACUUAUUUUAGAUCUUAUAAAAUAAAAUAUUUUUCCUAGAAAAUUUUUAAAAAGAAGUGUUUAGUUUGUAAAUAUAAAAUAAAACAAUAUUUCUUCUGAGUAAAUAAACAAAAAAAAAC
Molecule: long non-coding RNA, 599 nt
Organism: Daktulosphaira vitifoliae (grape phylloxera)
Lineage: Eukaryota; Metazoa; Arthropoda; Insecta; Hemiptera; Phylloxeridae
Exons: 3
Source: RefSeq, a predicted model, not a curated record